GGGGCUGAUUCUGGAUUCGACGGGAUUAGCGAAGCCCAAGGUGCACGUCGAGGUGCGGUAGGCCUCGUAAAUAAACCGCAAAAAAAUAGUCGCAAACGACGAACAAUACGCUUUAGCAGCUUAAUAACCUGCUCAUAGCCUUCGCUCCCCAGCUUCCGCUCGUAAGACGGGGAUAAAGCGGAGUCAAACCAAAACGAGAUCGUGUGGAAGCCCGCAUGCUUAAGUGAAAUUAAAGACGAGACUAAACGUGUAGUACUGAAGGUAGAGUAAUUUCGGACGCGGGUUCAACUCCCGCCAGCUCCACCA
RNAcentral lists this transfer-messenger RNA (306 nucleotides) under Parahaemophilus parainfluenzae. RNAcentral describes it as "Haemophilus parainfluenzae transfer-messenger RNA". It matches the Rfam family "transfer-messenger RNA". From Rfam's summary of the family: Bacterial tmRNA, also known as 10Sa RNA or SsrA, is named for its dual tRNA and mRNA-like properties. Its role is to liberate the mRNA from a stalled ribosome. The record is from RNAcentral. Lineage: Bacteria; Pseudomonadati; Pseudomonadota; Gammaproteobacteria; Pasteurellales; Pasteurellaceae.